RNAcentral lists this ribosomal RNA (264 nucleotides) under uncultured bacterium. RNAcentral's name for it is "partial 16S ribosomal RNA". It matches the Rfam family "Bacterial small subunit ribosomal RNA", at positions 793 to 1055 of the family's 1533-position model. The record is from RNAcentral.
GUCCACGCCCUAAACGAUGUCAACUAGUUGUCGGGGAAGUUAUUCCUUGGUAACGAAGCUAACGCGUGAAGUUGACCGCCUGGGGAGUACGGCCGCAAAGGUUAAAACUCAAAGGAAUUGACGGGGACCCGCACAAGCGGUGGAUUAUGUGGAUUAAUUCGAUGCAACGCGAAAAACCUUACCUACCCUUGACAUGUCAGGAACCUCGCAGAGAUGUGAGGGUGCCCGAAAGGGACCUGAACACAGGUGCUGCAUGGCUGUCGU